UUUAUACAUACAAAACCAGAACCAGUAUCUAUAGAAGGAAAGAUUAGGAAAUUAAUGAAUUUAUUGUUUGAAAUGCCUUUUCAGUGUUCCUAAAAUUAUUUAUGAACUACUUUUUUUUUUUUUUUUUUUUUUUUUAGAGACAGAAUCUCACUAUGGUACCCCCAGGCUGGACUGCAGCGGCACAAUCAUGGCUCAUUGCAGCCUCCAACUCCUGGACUCAAGUGAUCCUCCUGCCUAAGUCUCCCAAGUAGCUGGGGCUACAGGUUCAUGCCAACACACACAGCUAAUUAUUUUUCUCAUUUUUUGGUAAAGAUGGGGUCCACUUUAUCGCCCAGGCUCAUCUUGAACUCCUGGGCUCCUGAGAUCCUCCUGCUUCAGCUUCUCAAAGUGCUGGGAUUAAAUGCAUGAGCCACCACAUCUGGCCCCUACUUCAAGCCAGUGUCUUGUUUGUCGACCAGGCUGGAGUGCAGUAGAACAAUCUCAGUUCGCUGCAACCUCUGCCUCCCAGGUUCAAGCUAUUCUACUUCAGCUUCCCGAGUAACUGGAAUUACAGGUGCACAGCACCACACUUGGCUAAAUCUUUUGUAUUUUUAGUAGAGACUGGGUUUCACCAUGUUGGAUAGGCUGGUCUUAAACUCCUGAUCUCAAGUGAUCCACCCACCUCAGCCUUCCAAAGUGCUGGGAUUACAUGCAUGAGUCACUGUGCCUGGCCUCCUACUCUACUCUACUCUACUCUACUCUACUCUACUCUAAAAUAUCAUUAUCAACACCAUAAGUUGGUUCUUUAUUAUUUCUGCACUUAAUCUUACACAUUCGUAGAGUUGUAGUAAUAUUUAUUCUGAUGCAUUGCUGAGAUUAAGGUGAUUUCCCCAAACAGAAAAAAGAAAAUGAAGAUUAAAAAAACAUUUCAAACUCUGGAUUAUCAAACAACUAAUUCUUGCUAAGAGUACACAACCUGGUUGAUGCUAACAAGAUGAAUUAAACCUAAGCAGAGAGUCUGGAAGCGAUUUCCUUUUUCAGUUAAAUUUCCUUUACUAUGUUAACAAAAAUUAAAUUGAUACCCAUCACACAAGUUAAUCUUUUUGCAACUAGAUGCGACA
RNAcentral lists this long non-coding RNA (1100 nucleotides) under Homo sapiens (human). RNAcentral's name for it is "HSALNT0199996". The record is from RNAcentral. Lineage: Eukaryota; Metazoa; Chordata; Mammalia; Primates; Hominidae.